CUACGUGCCAGCAGCCGCGGUAAUACGUAGGUCCCGAGCGUUGUCCGGAUUUAUUGGGCGUAAAGCGAGCGCAGGCGGUUAGAUAAGUCUGAAGUUAAAGGCUGUGGCUUAACCAUAGUACGCUUUGGAAACUGUUUAACUCGAGUGCAGAAGGGGAGAGUGGAAUUCCAUGUGUAGCGGUGAAAUGCGUAGAUAUAUGGAGGAACACCGGUGGCGAAAGCGGCUCUCUGGUCUGUAACUGACGCUGAGGCUCGAAAGCGUGGGGAGCGAACAGGAUUAGAUACCCUGGUAGUCCACGCCGUAAACGAUGAGUGCUAGGUGUUGGGUCCUUUCCGGGACUCAGUGCCGCAGCUAACGCAUUAAGCACUCCGCCUGGGGAGUACGACCGCAAGGUUGAAACUCAAAGGAAUUGACGGGGGCCCGCACAAGCGGUGGAGCAUGUGGUUUAAUUCGAAGCAACGCGAAGAACCUUACCAGGUCUUGACAUCCCGGUGCCCGUCCUAGAGAUAGAGUUUUC
RNAcentral lists this ribosomal RNA (517 nucleotides) under uncultured bacterium. RNAcentral's name for it is "bacterial SSU rRNA". It matches the Rfam family "Bacterial small subunit ribosomal RNA", at positions 501 to 1016 of the family's 1533-position model. The record is from RNAcentral.